RNAcentral lists this ribosomal RNA (289 nucleotides) under uncultured Glomeromycotina. Its description in RNAcentral is "partial large subunit ribosomal RNA". Lineage: Eukaryota; Fungi; Glomeromycota. The record is from RNAcentral.
CUUACGAUCGCUCUUUCCUAUUGCCCACCCGCCCUAACACUGUAAGAUACUCUUGCAAUGAAAGGGUAGCAACCAGAAGAAAGCCGACUAGCCCACCCAGGUUGGGUAUUCCCGGAUAGGAGUCCGCUGCACUCCUCGGUCCCAAAGAUCGCAUCCAUGGCUGCCUAUAACACCCCCGAAGGGGCCACAUUGCUGCCAUUCUUUUACGACCCUCAAAACCGAUGCUGACCUGCCCUACGCAAAAGUGCACCAGUAGAAUGGAUGCAACAUAGUCCACCUAUUCUACUAG